CUGGGCGGGAACUGGUCGCGUCCGGACCCGCGACGGCUUCCACCCGCCUUAGCCAGUGCCAGCCGCACCGCAGUCGGAGGAAACAGACGCAGGGCCUGAGGCUCACGGACUUGAGAGGCUGCAGAAAAGGCCCAGGAGGCUGUUGAUGACAUGAACGACCACCAGGAGAAGCUGGAGCAGGCUGAUGCACAGAAGGGCGGAGAAGAGGGACACGUGCCAGACAACAGCUGCAGAGGGCUCCAGGCAGACGGAGUUCCAGAGCGAACGGUCAUAUAGAUAAUUCCUAUCCCGAAAAAUAAGGAGACCAGGGGUCGGGCGAUAAGUAAGGAAAGCCAAACAGGCAACCCCAGUAGAAAACUGGCGUCUCCCCUGACUGGGUCAUGGGACUGGGCUCGUGAGGGUGACCAUUACUGCUCCAUUUGCAAUUUUCUGAGUAUCAGAGGAGCAAGAUGCUAGGAUGUGUGACCCAAAGGAGCUUGUAGUUCAUCAGUGUGUCUUUUUGUCUCUCUCUCUCUGUCUGAAAAGACCAAGCCCAGGCCUCUACCCAUUUACCUACUGUGCAGGUCUUUGAAUGGGUAACCAUAUUUCCAAGCUUGUGUCUGAUUGAAGGACGAAACAUCAAACAUGCAAAAAGGACCAUCUUUCAGAGCAACUCCAGAAGUGACAAAGCAAAUCAGGGCUCCAAGUAAAGCCAGGCCACUUGACAACAGAGCAGUAAGCACCUGCGGAGGGAGGGCGAGACGAGUCUCGCUCUGUCACCCAGGCUGGAGUGCAGUGGCCCCAUCUCGGCUCACUGCAACCUCCACCUCCCGGAUUCAAGAUUUUCCUGCCUCAGCCUCCUGAGUUGCUGGGAUUACAGAUGAAAGCCUGAAACUGGAAAGAUGAAGCAAUUUGCCCAAGAACUUAGUGUUACUGAGGGUCACAGUGAGGACCUGACUUCAGGCCCCAAGACCAAAAUUGCCUCUUUACCACCUUAACUCUAGAGUAAUAGAGGUGGAGACAUUCUCAGUGUUAGAAGAGUGGAAUCUGGUGCUUACAGUUCGACAGAGCCCACUCUUACUGAAGCAGCCGUAUCUCCAGCCCAUCAAGAAGAUGAGGAUAGCUGCAGUGAGUACCUGCAGGAGAGAGAAGAAUGUUGAGAUGGGGAAACUGACUUUGCCAGCUGUUUCUAGGUGCUGCCCGCAGCUGUUGAAAUAAGGUGGCUGGCACCUCACAUGAACUCAAUUGUCCUGUUGACUCUGACUCUGGGGACCCACACUUGUAUGACUAGCCUGAUCUAACGCUGUGGAUGUUAACUUUCACACCUGACCUGCCUGGUCCCAAGCUAGUCUUCCUGUCUCUUAGAGCUUCUACAGAGCCAAGACCAGCUUGUCAGAAUAAACUUUCCUGCAAGGAA
Long non-coding RNA from Symphalangus syndactylus (siamang), 1396 nucleotides. RefSeq lists it as uncharacterized. NCBI's taxonomy places the organism in Eukaryota, Metazoa, Chordata, Mammalia, Primates, Hylobatidae. The record is from RefSeq and is a predicted model, not a curated record.